Long non-coding RNA from Bos indicus x Bos taurus (hybrid cattle), 1587 nucleotides. NCBI's taxonomy places the organism in Eukaryota, Metazoa, Chordata, Mammalia, Artiodactyla, Bovidae. The record is from Ensembl.
CCCCGCCCCCAGCAGCUGGGGAUUCCUGCCAGGCUCGGGCGGGGGGCGGGGCCCAGAGCCCGCAAGGCAUCUUGGGAACGCAGAGAUGAGGGUCCCGGUGGCUUGAGGGAGGCAGAGAUGGGGGUCCCCGGGGCUUGAUGGGGGGAAGGUGGGGGUCCCCGGGGCUCGAUGGAGGGGAGGUGGGGGGUCCCCGGGGCUCUAUGGGUGCGGAGACGGGUGUCCCCGGGGCUCGAUGGGUGCGGAGACGGGUGUCCCCGGGGCUCGAUGGGUGCGGAGUUGGGGGUCUCUAGGACUUGAUGGGGGCGGAGAUGGGGGUCCCAGGGGCUCGAUGGGUGCGGAGACGGGUGUCCCCGGGGCUCGAUGGGUGCGGAGUUGGGGGUCUCUAGGACUUGAUGGGGGCGGAGAUGGGGGUCCCAGGGGCUCGAUGGGUGCGGAGACGGGUGUCCCCGGGGCUUGAUGGGGGCGGAGAUGAGGUCCCCGGAAUGCAGUGCGGGUGUGUGGAGAUGGGGGGGGUCUCGGGGCGCGGUGGUCUGUGCAGAUGGAGCUCCCGGGAAAGCAGUGUGGGUGUGUGGAGAUGAGGGUUUUCGGGGCGCGGUGGUCGGUGCAGAUGGUGGUCCCCAGAGUGCAGUGGGGGUCUGUGGAGAUAAAGGUCCCCGGCCUGCGCUGGGGGUGCAGGCCCUUCUCAGCCUAAGCACUACUGACCCUCGGGGCCGGAUCAUGCAUUUUCGUGGGGCUGCCCUGGGCGGCUGCAGCGCAUUCAGUAGCGACUCUGGUCUGUGUCCACUAGAUGGCGGUAGGUGCCCACUAAUGGUGAGAAUCCGGACGUCCGCACGCGUCCUGUCCACCGGGGAACUGAAUCACCCCUCACUGAGUGCCCCGGCUAGACAGGGCUGGAGAGAAACCAACAGAUCUGACUGACGGAUGGAUGGAUACAUACGUAGAUAAUGAGAGAUGACAGAUUAAGUAGGUAAGAGUCAUGUCUGGUCAGGGUCUCUGCCCUACCGCCAUCUGGGGCUGGACGAGUCUCUAUGGGGGGCGUCCUGUGCACUGUGGGGUGUGGAGCAGCUCUGUUCUCCCCCCACCACAUGCCAGGGGCAGCCCCUGCCCCCAGUGCUGAGAAGCAAGAUGACCCCUGACUAAUUCAUACCAUGUAUAUUUAAACUAAUACAUAUCUUUGUGUUCAUGUGACUGUAUAUAAGAACCUGGGUCUCUUGCCUUGCAGGCAGAUUCUUUACCACUGCACCCCCAGGGAAGCCCCUAUAUAUAUAUGGUAUAUCAUGGAAUAUGCUAUAUAUUGGGCUUCCCUGGUGGUUCAGAUGGUAAAGAAUCCGCCAGCAAUGUGGGAGACCUGGGUUCAAUCCCUGGAUUGGGAAGAUCCCCUGGAGGAGGACAUGGCCACCCACUCCAGUAUUCUUGCCCGGAGAAUCCAAUGGUCGGAGGAGCCUGGCGGGCUGUAGUCCACGGGGUUGCCAAGAGUCAGACACGGCUGAGCGACUUAGCACAUGUGCACCCCUGUGUGGAGUUAGGAUAAACUCUUCAUUGCUAGGUUAAAAUAAACAUCUUGCUUAGAAAAAAAAAAAAAGAUGG